Molecule: ribosomal RNA, 347 nt
Filed under: uncultured Pseudomonas sp.
Lineage: Bacteria; Pseudomonadati; Pseudomonadota; Gammaproteobacteria; Pseudomonadales; Pseudomonadaceae
Description: bacterial SSU rRNA
Rfam family: Bacterial small subunit ribosomal RNA
Source: RNAcentral
GACAGGUGGUGCAUGGUUGUCGUCAGCUCGUGUCGUGAGAUGUUGGUUAGUCCGCAACGAGCGCAACCCUUGUCCUUAGUUACCAGCACGUUAAGGUGGGCACUCUAAGGAGACUGCCGGUGACAAACCGGAGGAAGGUGGGGAUGACGUCAAGUCAUCAUGGCCCUUACGGCCUGGGCUACACACGUGCUACAAUGGUCGGUACAAAGGGUUGCCAAGCCGCGAGGUGGAGCUAAUCCCAUAAAACCGAUCGUAGUCCGGAUCGCAGUCUGCAACUCGACUGCGUGAAGUCGGAAUCGCUAGUAAUCGUGAAUCAGAAUGUCACGGUGAAUACGUUCCCGGGCCUU